Long non-coding RNA from Ornithodoros turicata, 916 nucleotides. RefSeq lists it as uncharacterized. NCBI's taxonomy places the organism in Eukaryota, Metazoa, Arthropoda, Arachnida, Ixodida, Argasidae. The transcript is spliced from 3 exons. The record is from RefSeq and is a predicted model, not a curated record.
ACGGCGUGAGCAACAUCUCAAUCCCAGCGGCGAGCAGCGGACGGGUUCCUUCGGCAGAUUCCGACAGCGCGGUCUAAUGCAGGGCUCGGCGAUCAUUGGGUGUAGCGGGCCGUGGAGAACGACGAAGAUAACCACGCGUCUGGAACACCGGCCUCAGUUCCUGCGGCGCGGCCAUGGAGAUGGACCCCCAGUCAUCGCCUCUCCGUGGCAUACCAUCAUCGCCGGUCGGGGUUCAUGUAGUGGAACACCACCGCUACAUUUAACCUGAAGCCGGUCACCAAUAAUGCCACCCAAGAGGAAUUCCAGCUCCCUCGACACGGUCUUCGGCGAACCAGCGGCACAGGACCUGCUACUGCAGAUGACGUCAUCCCCGUAUGCUACUGCCGGAACUGCUCGGCAUCACCUCCGCUGUUCUCGGACAGGCAGCUACGCCUAAUUUGGCGCCUAACCUUGACGGUACCGAAGAUUUCCAACCGCAGGGACCCAAAGUCCGACUUCCCAUCGGCUUGGACGCUCACCGAACUAUCGUCCGCUGCCCCUGGCUGACUCCUUCUGGUGAUAUCCUGCAUUUGCCAGACCUUGGCGUGAAAAUGGAACCCGAGAAAGGGACAGAGGAGGGACGACACGUUUUCGAAGAACGUGUCGUCCUUCCUGUCCCUUUGUCGGGUUCAAUUUUUUUUUUUUUUUUUUUCGCCAUGUACCAGCUGUCCUGCACGUUUCUGCCAUUGCCAGACCUUUGAAAAGUCUCCCAUUUUCUACUACGAGGGAACCUGAAGCUUGUUCGGCCGUAUAGCGUGGGAAAGAAAUGCAUCUGGGCGACUGUUCCUGGCAGUGGAUACAUUACGACGCAAUGAGUCUUCUGCAGGGAACAGUGAUGUAUCCAAAUAAACAUGCUGUUGCAAUGAAGCUCCCCAUU